This 497-nucleotide ribosomal RNA is filed under the name uncultured bacterium. Its description in RNAcentral is "partial 16S ribosomal RNA". It matches the Rfam family "Bacterial small subunit ribosomal RNA", at positions 28 to 507 of the family's 1533-position model. The record is from RNAcentral.
GAUGAACGCUGGCGGCGUGCCUAAUACAUGCAAGUCGAGCGAACGGACGAGAAGCUUUCUUCUCUGAUGUUAGCGGCGGACGGGUGAGUAACACGUGGAUAACCUACCUCUAAGACUGGGAUAACUUCGGGAAACCGGAGCUACUACCGGAUAAUAUUUUGAACCGCAUGGUUCAAAAGUGAAAGACGGUUUUGCUGUCACUUAUAGAUGGAUCCGCGCUGCAUUAGCUAGUUGGUAAGGUAACGGCUUACCAAGGCAACGAUGCAUAGCCGACCUGAGAGGGUGAUCGGCCACACUGGAACUGAGACACGGUCCAGACUCCUACGGGAGGCAGCAGUAGGGAAUCUUCCGCAAUGGGCGAAAGCCUGACGGAGCAACGCCGCGUGAGUGAUGAAGGUCUUCGGAUCGUAAAACUCUGUUAUUAGGGAAGAACAGAUGUGUAAGUAACUGUGCACAUCUUGACGGUACCUAAUCAGAAAGCCACGGCUAACUACGUG